UGAAAUACAACUUUCAACAACGGAUCUCUUGGCUCUCGCAUCGAUGAAGAACGCAGCGAAAUGCGAUAAGUAAUGUGAAUUGCAGAAUUCAGUGAAUCAUCGAAUCUUUGAACGCACCUUGCGCCCCUUGGUAUUCCGAGGGGCAUGCCUGUUUGAGUG
Molecule: ribosomal RNA, 159 nt
Filed under: Porodaedalea chrysoloma
Lineage: Eukaryota; Fungi; Basidiomycota; Agaricomycetes; Hymenochaetales; Hymenochaetaceae
Description: 5.8S ribosomal RNA
Rfam family: 5.8S ribosomal RNA
About the family: 5.8S ribosomal RNA (5.8S rRNA) is a component of the large subunit of the eukaryotic ribosome. It is transcribed by RNA polymerase I as part of the 45S precursor that also contains 18S and 28S rRNA.
Source: RNAcentral